This 485-nucleotide ribosomal RNA is filed under the name uncultured bacterium. RNAcentral describes it as "partial 16S ribosomal RNA". It matches the Rfam family "Bacterial small subunit ribosomal RNA", at positions 899 to 1397 of the family's 1533-position model. The record is from RNAcentral.
ACUCAAAUGAAUAGACGGGGACUCACACAAGCGGUGGACCAUGUGGCUUAAUUCGACAACAAACGAAGAACCUUACCAGGACUAGAAACCCAACUGACCAUCCUAUGAAAGUAGGACUUCGCAAGACAGUUGGGCAGGUGCUGCAUGGUUGUCGUCAGUUCGUGUCUUGAGACGUACCGUUAAUUCGGGUAACGAACGUAACCCUUGCUCUGUGUUUUACAUGUCACAGAGGACUGCCCGAGAUAAUUGGGAGGAAGGUGAGGAUGACGCCAAAUCAGCAUGGCCCUUGAUGUCCUGGGCUGCACACGUGGUACAAUGGUAGGUACAAUGGGAAGCAAAACCGUAAGGUGAAGCUAAUCUCACCAAAGCCUACCUCAGUUCGGAUUGAGGGCUGAAACUCGCCCUCAUGAAGCUGGAAUCGCUAGUAAUCGCCAAUCAGCUACGUGGCGAUGAAUACGUUCCUGAGUCUUGUACACACCGCCCGU